CAAGGAGCCAGUCUGAGUUUAUCUUCCCAAUAAGUCACACUGAAGGCGAUGGACGUUUGAGCUGCUGCAAAGUGGUGGAGUCUCAGGUACGUCUCUACGCCGAUGAUGUAACGCUGAUCUGCUAGCUGACAUCAAAGGACGUCUGACUGCAGAUAAAAAGGCCGGAGGAAUGUGAGUGAGCAUUGGGGGAGAUAAGCCUGUCACAGUUUCCCUGCAGACUGAAGCGCGGGGAGCACAUCUCAAACAGCAGGACAACUGGCCAGCAGCGAUAGCCAGCCAACAUCACAGUGAGAGACUGAGGAGCCGCUGGUGUGUGUGUUUGUGUGUGUGUUUGGGGGGGGAUGCAUCAAAAACUGGGGUUGCUUUCAGAGGAUCUAAGCCACUCAGCAGCAGUAUCUGUGACAGAGCCGGCCUAAUUGUUUUUGCUUCCAAACAAGAUUCACGUUGUUUUCAAAGCAGAGAGGAAAAUGGAUGAUUGAUGGAAGUGAGCCGUGGGUGAUGAUGCUUUUGAGGUUUUACUGGAGGGUGGAAGGUUGAACAAUUGCAUUAAAAGCCAUUUGUAUUCACAAUCUAAGGACUUGCAAUGGCAACAUUAAAACAGACAAAACCAGUAUGCUAGGCUGCAUUAUUCUGGUGUUUUAUUAAGUUUGGUUGUCAGAACAAAGUUUCUUCCCCCUGUACGGAUUUCUUCUCUUAUACGUUGAUGUUUUUAGAUGAUGAAAUAACUUUUAAUAUCAGAUUGUAAUGACCUGAGUAAAUGCAAAAUGUAGUUUUCAAAUAAUUUCAUUUAUCAGAAGAGAAAAGCAAUCAAAAAACUAACCUUGUGUAAAAAAAAAAAAAAAAAGGUAUUUGCCCCUUAACCUGAUAUGGAUGGUCCAUCUUUGGUGGCAAAAAUUAUCAUAUGACUGUAAAAACUAACAUGCAUGUAGGGAGGAAAUCUGGUCCACUGUUGUUUAUAUGAUUGUUUUAAUUCAGCCAGAUUGGAGGGUUUUCUAACAUGACCAUAAGCAUCAUAACCAGAUUUAAGUCAGAACUUUGACUAUGCCAUUCCAAGUCCUUAAUUUUGUUGUUUAAUUUAAUGUGGGUAGCGUAGACUUGUAUUUCGUGGCCAAUAUCAACUGCAGAGUGCAUAUUUGUGUAAACUUUAUACAUAAAGCAGAUGUUAAAAUUCACUAAAUACAAGCCGAGAACAGCAACUACUUUAUGUAUCAAUGUUAGCAUGUUUGGGUUCUAGAUGGAGCCAAAUCUAAGGAGAACCACAUUAGUAAUGUUCUCGUGAAAUAUUUGGAGUACUGUCACUAAUAAACAGGACACAGAACUAGGACAUUUCUGUCAAAACCUGCCACUAGUAAUCGUUUAAAAAAAUGUAAAUGUCAAGAACACAGUGAGACAACUGAAUGAAUUAAUGAUAUAUGUUACAAUACUAAUGUAGAAUAUGUGAUACUAAUAUAAUGCAGUUUGUUAU
Long non-coding RNA from Xiphophorus couchianus (Monterrey platyfish), 1465 nucleotides. RefSeq lists it as uncharacterized. The record is from RefSeq and is a predicted model, not a curated record. NCBI's taxonomy places the organism in Eukaryota, Metazoa, Chordata, Actinopteri, Cyprinodontiformes, Poeciliidae. The transcript has 3 exons.